This is a long non-coding RNA of Etheostoma cragini (Arkansas darter), 183 nucleotides long. RefSeq lists it as uncharacterized. The record is from RefSeq and is a predicted model, not a curated record. The transcript has 3 exons. Lineage: Eukaryota; Metazoa; Chordata; Actinopteri; Perciformes; Percidae.
AUUUCUUUGGGAAGCAUGUUUUGUGGUCACAGCACGACUACGGUAGCAAGUAUUAUUAAAUGCUGAAAAUCCCCUUAGGGAGGUUGGUUUGGGGGGGUGAAUGGGACAGACAACACAGGACUUUCACCUCGGAGACCGGGGGUUGUGUCCCGGCGUGUGGCGUGUUGUUUCCCGUUCUUCUUU